UUCGAUGCAACGCGAAAACCUUACCCACCUUUGACAUGUACGGAAUCCUUUAGAGAUAGAGGAGUGCUCGAAAGAGAGCCGUAACACAGGUGCUGCAUGGCUGUCGUCAGCUCGCGUCGUGAGAUGUUGGGUUAAGUCCCGCAACGAGCGCAACCCUUGUCAUUAGUUGCCAUCAUUUGGUUGGGCACUCUAAUGAGACUGCCGGUGACAAACCGGAGGAAGGUGGGGAUGACGUCAAGUCCUCAUGGCCCUUAUGGGUAGGGCUUCACACGUCAUACAAUGGUCGGUACAGAGGGUUGCCAACCCGCGAGGGGGAGCUAAUCCCACAAAGCCGAUCGUAGUCCGGAUCGCAGUCUGCAACUCGACUGCCGUGAAGUCGGAAUCGCUAGUAAUCGUGGAUCAGCAUGUCACGGUGAAUACGUUCCCGGGUCUU
This 433-nucleotide ribosomal RNA is filed under the name uncultured Rhodocyclaceae bacterium. RNAcentral describes it as "bacterial SSU rRNA". It matches the Rfam family "Bacterial small subunit ribosomal RNA", at positions 950 to 1382 of the family's 1533-position model. Lineage: Bacteria; Pseudomonadati; Pseudomonadota; Betaproteobacteria; Rhodocyclales; Rhodocyclaceae. The record is from RNAcentral.